This 434-nucleotide ribosomal RNA is filed under the name uncultured bacterium. RNAcentral describes it as "partial 16S ribosomal RNA". It matches the Rfam family "Bacterial small subunit ribosomal RNA", at positions 29 to 507 of the family's 1533-position model. The record is from RNAcentral.
AGCGAACGCUGGCGGCAGGCCUAACACAUGCAAGUCGAACGAACCUUUCGGGGUUAGUGGCGGACGGGUGAGUAACACGUGGGAACGUGCCUUUAGGUUCGGAAUAACUCAGGGAAACUUGUGCUAAUACCGAAUGUGCCCUUCGGGGGAAAGAUUAAUCGCCUUUGGAGCGGCCCGCGUCUGAUUAGCUAGUUGGUUAAGGUAAUGGCUCACCAAGGCGACGAUCAGUAGCUGGUCUGAGAGGAUGAUCAGCCACAUUGGGACUGAGACACGGCCCAAACUCCUACGGGAGGCAGCAGUGGGGAAUCUUGCGCAAUGGGCGAAAGCCUGACGCAGCCAUGCCGCGUGAAUGAUGAAGGUCUUAGGAUUGUAAAAUUCUUUCACCGGGGACGAUAAUGACGGUACCCGGAGAAGAAGCCCCGGCUAACUUCGUG